AUUGAACGCUGGCGGCAGGCCUAACACAUGCAAGUCGAGCGGAAACGAUCCUAGCUUGCUAGGAGGCGUCGAGCGGCGGACGGGUGAGUAACGCGUGAGAAUCUACCCAUGAGUGGGGGACAACCCGGGGAAACUCGGGCUAAUACCGCAUACGCCCUACGGGGUAAAGCAGGGGACCUUCGGGCCUUGCGCUGAUGGAUGAGCUCGCGUCGGAUUAGCUUGUUGGUGAGGUAAAGGCUCACUAAGGCGACGAUCCGUAGCUGGUCUGAGAGGAUGAUCAGCCACACCGGGACUGAGACACGGCCCGGACUCCUACGGGAGGCAGCAGUGGGGAAUCUUGGACAAUGGGGGCAACCCUGAUCCAGCCAUGCCGCGUGUGUGAAGAAGGCCUGAGGGUUGUAAAGCACUUUUAGCAGGAAAGAAGGCCUUAGUAUUAAUACUACUGAGGAUUGACGUUACCUGCAGAAAAAGCACCGGCUAACUCUGUG
This 488-nucleotide ribosomal RNA is filed under the name uncultured bacterium. Its description in RNAcentral is "bacterial SSU rRNA". It matches the Rfam family "Bacterial small subunit ribosomal RNA", at positions 30 to 507 of the family's 1533-position model. The record is from RNAcentral.